GGACGAUCUGUACCGGUCGCCUCCUCCGUCUGCUGCCAUUGUCCACCCAUCCCCUCCCUCUAAUCAAUUCUCUUACCGGGGUCAAUGAUUCUGCAGGUAAUCUCACUCAUCCCCGGAUCAGUCCAAGUCCGUUGCCGGAAAGAUUUUUUUCGAACAGGAGCUACACACGCCACAGUUCCUUUCUCCCUCCUAUCUGAUUGGACUACCAUGCUGAUAUACCUCAAUCCCCCUCCCAUGCGCAUGUAUUGGCUAUGAUUAACCCAUAGCCUGGACCAAUCAACGGCUGCAUAGAAAUUGAGCAAGCAUCCAUUGCUAGCCAUCGCUUGCACCACUCCAUCCAAUAAGGUCUGCAAGGAGAAAUACUAAUACUGGAGUAAGUUUUCCUUUUUUUUUAUGUUGCGCAUCCUGCAACUUUAGACUUGGUCUAUGAUGAUCAUGUACAGUCUAGGUUUCUGUUUUGGGGAGAUUCUAAUGGCAGGAGUUCAUUAGUUUAAUACGUUUCUUAGUCCUACCUAUGUAUUAUUGCGAUGGGUUUUGUAGCUGAUAUUUAAUCUAAUUAAUUAGGGGAUUCAUUUG
This is a long non-coding RNA of Triticum dicoccoides, 576 nucleotides long. RefSeq lists it as uncharacterized. The record is from RefSeq and is a predicted model, not a curated record. The transcript is spliced from 3 exons. Lineage: Eukaryota; Viridiplantae; Streptophyta; Magnoliopsida; Poales; Poaceae.